UAACGCGAAGAACCUUACCAGGUCUUGACAUCCUUUGAAGCUUUUAGAGAUAGAAGUGUUCUCUUCGGAGACAAAGUGACAGGUGGUGCAUGGUCGUCGUCAGCUCGUGUCGUGAGAUGUUGGGUUAAGUCCCGCAACGAGCGCAACCCUUAUUGUUAGUUGCCAGCAUUCAGAUGGGCACUCUAGCGAGACUGCCGGUGACAAACCGGAGGAAGGCGGGGACGACGUCAGAUCAUCAUGCCCCUUAUGACCUGGGCUACACACGUGCUACAAUGGCGUAUACAACGAGUUGCCAGCCCGCGAGGGUGAGCUAAUCUCUUAAAGUACGUCUCAGUUCGGAUUGUAGUCUGCAACUCGACUACAUGAAGUCGGAAUCGCUAGUAAUCGCGGAUCAGC
This 396-nucleotide ribosomal RNA is filed under the name uncultured bacterium. Its description in RNAcentral is "bacterial SSU rRNA". It matches the Rfam family "Bacterial small subunit ribosomal RNA", at positions 957 to 1353 of the family's 1533-position model. The record is from RNAcentral.